This 68-nucleotide transfer RNA is filed under the name Marmota monax (woodchuck). RNAcentral describes it as "tRNA.Ala". Lineage: Eukaryota; Metazoa; Chordata; Mammalia; Rodentia; Sciuridae. The record is from RNAcentral.
GGAUUGUGGCUCAGCGGUAGAGUGCUCACCUAGCGCGGGCGAGGCCCUGGGUUCGAUCUUCAGCACCA